CAGCCGUAAACUAUGCGCGUUAGGUGUACUGGUGACCACGAGUCACCGGGUGCCGAAGGGAAACCGUGAAACGUGCCGCCUGGGAAGUACGGUCGCAAGGCUGAAACUUAAAGGAAUUGGCGGGGGAGCACCGCAACGGGAGGAGCGUGCGGUUUAAUUGGAUUCAACGCCGGACAUCUCACCGGAUAAGACAGCUGAAUGAUUGUCAAUCUGAAGGUUUUACAUGACUAGCUGAGAGGAGGUGCAUGGCGUCAGUGACU
RNAcentral lists this ribosomal RNA (260 nucleotides) under uncultured archaeon. Its description in RNAcentral is "partial 16S ribosomal RNA". It matches the Rfam family "Archaeal small subunit ribosomal RNA", at positions 748 to 1008 of the family's 1478-position model. The record is from RNAcentral.